UGGCGGACGGGUGAGUAAUGUCUGGGAAACUGCCUGAUGGAGGGGGAUAACUACUGGAAACGGUAGCUAAUACCGCGUAACGUCGCAAGACCAAAGAGGGGGACCUUCGGGCCUCUUGCCAUCGGAUGUGCCCAGAUGGGAUUAGCUAGUAGGUGGGGUAACGGCUCACCUAGGCGACGAUCCCUAGCUGGUCUGAGAGGAUGACCAGCCACACUGGAACUGAGACACGGUCCAG
RNAcentral lists this ribosomal RNA (235 nucleotides) under uncultured bacterium. RNAcentral's name for it is "partial 16S ribosomal RNA". It matches the Rfam family "Bacterial small subunit ribosomal RNA", at positions 96 to 334 of the family's 1533-position model. The record is from RNAcentral.